This 481-nucleotide ribosomal RNA is filed under the name uncultured Erysipelothrix sp. RNAcentral's name for it is "bacterial SSU rRNA". It matches the Rfam family "Bacterial small subunit ribosomal RNA", at positions 897 to 1382 of the family's 1533-position model. The record is from RNAcentral. Lineage: Bacteria; Bacillati; Bacillota; Erysipelotrichia; Erysipelotrichales; Erysipelotrichaceae.
AAACUUAAAUGAAUUGACGGGACCCCGCACAAGCGGUGGAUUAUGUUGUUUAAUUCGACGCAACGCGAAGAACCUUACCAGGCCUUGACAUACUCGGCAAAGCUCUAGAGAUAGAGUGGAGGUUAUCCGGGAUACAGGUGGUGCAUGGUUGUCGUCAGCUCGUGUCGUGAGAUGUUGGGUUAAGUCCCGCAACGAGCGCAACCCUUGUCUUUAGUUACCAUCAUUCAGUUGGGGACUCUAGAGAGACUGCCGGUGAUAAACCGGAGGAAGGUGGGGAUGACGUCAAAUCAUCAUGCCCCUUAUGGCCUGGGCUACAAACGUAAUACAAUGGCGUAUACAAAGGGAUGCGAAAGGGCGACCUGGAGCAAAACUCACAAAGUACGUCUCAGUUCAGAUUGGAGUCUGCAACUCGACUCCAUGAAGGCGGAAUCGCUAGUAAUCGCGAAUCAGAAAUGUCGCGGUGAAUACGUUCUCGGGCCUU